This 247-nucleotide ribosomal RNA is filed under the name Enterobacter sp. LR6. RNAcentral describes it as "partial 16S ribosomal RNA". It matches the Rfam family "Bacterial small subunit ribosomal RNA", at positions 879 to 1125 of the family's 1533-position model. The record is from RNAcentral. Lineage: Bacteria; Pseudomonadati; Pseudomonadota; Gammaproteobacteria; Enterobacterales; Enterobacteriaceae.
AGUACGGCCGCAAGGUUAAAACUCAAAUGAAUUGACGGGGGCCCGCACAAGCGGUGGAGCAUGUGGUUUAAUUCGAUGCAACGCGAAGAACCUUACCUACUCUUGACAUCCAGAGAACUUUCCAGAGAUGGAUUGGUGCCUUCGGGAACUCUGAGACAGGUGCUGCAUGGCUGUCGUCAGCUCGUGUUGUGAAAUGUUGGGUUAAGUCCCGCAACGAGCGCAACCCUUAUCCUUUGUUGCCAGCGGU